Lagenorhynchus albirostris (white-beaked dolphin) is the source of this 2078-nucleotide long non-coding RNA. RefSeq lists it as uncharacterized. The record is from RefSeq and is a predicted model, not a curated record. NCBI's taxonomy places the organism in Eukaryota, Metazoa, Chordata, Mammalia, Artiodactyla, Delphinidae. The transcript is spliced from 3 exons.
GUGAUGGACCGCAAUGGAGGUCGAGUCAAGAGUUGCUCGGGAAGCCCUCAGAGUUUGGGGCUUCAAGGAGGCCUGUCAAAGGACAAAAGAUGAGAUCGCUGGGCGGCAGGGUGUCCCAAAGGGUCCUAGAAACUGCGCCUCCGCGAUUCCUGUUAACUUGCCGCCAAGUUUUUCUAGAGGAGUCGCUCCUCUUGGCAGGGUGGAGCCUCGCUUCCUACCCAGCACUUCUUUGUGUGCCGGGUUUCUGUUCCGGGCUUUUCCAGCUGCUUAGGAGCUGAGGGGGCAGUGCGGUGGCUGGCCGGGGAGGAGCGGGUGGGCCGGAGUGUAGAACAGAGAGAGGUGGGGCGCGCUGGCGACUCUGAGGCGGCCAGGCUGGGGGCGCCGUAGAGUACCGCCCCGAACUGCCUCCCCCUCUGGAGCCUGGCCCCUAGAGGCUGAGAUGCUUCUCACCAAGGGGCGCUCCGAGUAAGCCAUAGAGCUCUUCCCUGCCGACCCAACUUUACUCAACUUUGAUCUUCAAAAACAUCUAGGAUAUGUAUUGAUAUAAUGCAGUAUGUGAUUGGUUUUUUUUUUGUCCCAAAUACAAGCAAACUAAUAAUGUUAGUAAGUUUUAGAAUAGGGUAAGUUCGCAUGUUGAGUCAUGUGGUGGUUUUCUUUUAAGGUUUAAAUUUGGAUAACCUGCUAGUGCUUACGAGAUUUUACCAAAAGCAUUCUUUUACUGAGCUUUGCUGCUGUGCAGUUAUGAUGAAACAUGAAGAUGCCAGAAUUGUACCUCACGAUAAGGCUUUAAUUGCCAGAAGGUUCUGAAAGUGCAACAGUAAUUCUAGGUUUAGAUAUAUUAAUUUGAGUUAGUUCUCUUGCAGGGUGCCCUAUAGGUUUUGUCAUCGGGUGAAACAGGAACAAAUGUAGGUCUGCUGGGGUCUUGGCACAGUACCACAUGGACCUGGACAAAAGCAUUGUUAAGAUAGAGAAAUGAGGCAAAGAGGGAUUAAGAUCUUUGCCCCUGGUCCCAAAGUUAGAGCCGUGUACUAGAGGCUUUCCUUCCAUUAACUGAAGACUUAGGUAGAAGAAGUAUGAGAUUGGAACUCAGACCUGGACUCUUGUCCUGCCUACUCUGCUUUGUGAAUUAGGGCAAGUCAUUUAACCUCUCUGAAUUUCAUUUUCCUCUGCUGUAACAGAUGAACACUUUGAACUAUUAUACUUUAUUGAAUCCUGGGUCAUCAAAAAUCCUUAAAAGGGUGCCUUCACCAUUAUCUGCUGGAUUUUCUUCCAAGCCCCUGACACUCAUUCCAUAAGUUUUGAUGCACACAUGCUAGCAGUGACAACUCUAUUGCUGCCUGGUCUGACCACACUGUAAGAUGUGGCUGAUUUCAGAGAUGUCAGAAUGUAAAAUACUGUGCAUCUUGGAAUUGAUGACAGACCAUAGGUGAUCUCUGAGCUCCUUUUCAACCUCCGUUCUAUGACAUCUGUGACUUAAUAACAUUUUAUUGCUGGUUUAUGUAUUUUUUAAUGUAAAUGAUUCAAGAUAAAACGUAAGCUUCUUGCUAGUGGAAAAGUAAGAAUCAUUUCUGUCUUUUUCACCUCUGAAUCCCCAAUAGCUAGAACAAUGCCUAGCAUGUAGUAAAUGCUCAAUAUAUAUUUACUGAAUGAAUUAAGCAAAUCUUCAUUUCAUAUUGCAAAUACAACUUUUAAAAAAAUUGUGUUCUACUUGAAGUUGACGUAAAAUAUAAUAGUAUCAACAGUGCAAAAAUAUUUUGCUAACAUUUUUUUGAAUGCAAAAGUGCACUGUUAAAAAACAGUGGUGUUUCUUUCCAAACAUCUUUUCUGCUUACUGUUGUUGAUUGUCAUCAAAUGUGGAGUACAUUUAAAAAAAUUUUUUUAAAAACUUUAUUGAAGUGUAGUUGAUUCACAGUGUUGUGUUAAUUUGUAGUAUGUUUUGGUCCUUGAAGAGGAUGAUAAAAAUUGAAAUGCCAACAUAGAGACUUUUUAAAAAGGAAUCACAGAGAUCUUCAAUUUAACGAAAGUUGGAAAAUGUUAUUUCAUAUCUUUAUUAACUUUUUAUGAGUAUUCUGGAGGUG